GAGCUUCACGAUAGUGGGGAGGACCAGGCCGCGGUGAAGGCAGGUCAUGCGCUCCUCACGCUCCACGAACGGAACCUGCGCACGGAGGCGGUAGCGCGGGGUGGCAGCCGGCAAUGAGGCGGCCGCGCUACGUGACGAGCUACGGGUCCCCCUUUGUGAUGUUUUGGCAUCGCUCCUUCAUCGCACAUCCUCAGGUACGUCAAUUCACUUCCUUCCCUUCCCUUCGUCCCUCGGUCCCACGCUCGUGGCGCUGAAGUGGUGGCAACAGGUGAUGGCGGUGGUGUCGCUGAUGGCGGCGAGGACAGCAUGUGGCAGCUCCCGAAGCAUGAACACGACCGCACCUCGGGCCUGCCGUCUGCCAAGAUAUGGCUCUGGCCGAUUGACAAUGGAGGUUUGGGAUCCUUCCUCUCAGCACCCACUCCUGGAAGAAUCAGCGGUGCGCCACGCCGAUUGAACCCCGUCGAGAUCAUUCGCCAAGAUUGCUAUUCUGAAGUUUAUUGUAAAGAAAGUGAAGAGUGAGACAGGAUCCGUUUAUUUUCAACCGGUUUAUUUUCAACCGGUUUAUUUCCAUCAAAUUACCCCCACCCCCACGCCCACCCACCGAAACGCGCCCAGCGAACCGGGGAGAGAUCCAUUGAUUUGGCUAAGGUAAGAAAGAAUCUAUUAUUUGUUUGCUAAAGCAAAUUGCAUUAAUGGGAGAGAUCCGUUGAUUUG
Molecule: long non-coding RNA, 714 nt
Organism: Triticum dicoccoides
Lineage: Eukaryota; Viridiplantae; Streptophyta; Magnoliopsida; Poales; Poaceae
Exons: 3
Source: RefSeq, a predicted model, not a curated record